Cinara cedri is the source of this 320-nucleotide non-coding RNA. The record is from the annotation of a GenBank genome assembly. NCBI's taxonomy places the organism in Eukaryota, Metazoa, Arthropoda, Insecta, Hemiptera, Aphididae.
GAAUCUCUAUUGCAAAUAAUAACUAUCUUAAUAGUAUUCAAUCGAAUUUGUUACAUGACCCAACUUUCGUACGUUCAAGAAAACAAGGAAACCCUAUCCCACAAACCAUAUCUCUCGGUGAUGAGACUGCGAACUCUAGCCAAGAUAUUGUUAAUCUUUUUGGAAAUUACUUUAGCUCUGUGUAUAGUCCUAAUAUUAAUUCUUAUAGUUCUAACUAGCCCCUCCUUUCAAAGCACUGUAGAUUUAAAUAAUAUAGACUUUACGAUCGGUGAUAUUUUUGAAGGUUUUAGUCUUCUUAAAGCUAAGUGCACAUAUGUCUC